Molecule: unclassified non-coding RNA, 393 nt
Filed under: soil metagenome
Description: partial contains 5.8S ribosomal RNA, internal transcribed spacer 2, and large subunit ribosomal RNA
Rfam family: 5.8S ribosomal RNA (bases 1-122)
Source: RNAcentral
GAUGAAGAACGUAGUGAAAUGCGAUACUUGGUGUGAAUUGCAGAAUCCCGUGAACCAUCGAGUCUUUGAACGCAAGUUGCGCCCGAAGCCACUAGGCCGAGGGCACGCCUGCCUGGGCGUCACACGUCGUUGCCCCCCCCCCAUCUACUCCUUCGGGAUUGCGGGGGGCGGAUGAUGGCCUCCCGUGCGCCUAGCCGCGCGGUUGGCAUAAAUACCAAGUCCUCGGCGACGCACGCCACGACAAUCGGUGGUUGCGAAACCUCGGUUGCCCGUCGUGUGCGUUCGUCGCGCAUCGAGGGCUCGAAAAAAUGCUCGGCUCCGGCUCGGCUUUCAACGUGACCCCAGGUCAGGCGGGGUUACCCGCUGAAUUUAAGCAUAUCAAUAAGCGGAGGA